This 471-nucleotide ribosomal RNA is filed under the name uncultured bacterium. RNAcentral describes it as "bacterial SSU rRNA". It matches the Rfam family "Bacterial small subunit ribosomal RNA", at positions 355 to 825 of the family's 1533-position model. The record is from RNAcentral.
UGGGGAAUUUUGGACAAUGGGCGCAAGCCUGAUCCAGCAAUGCCGCGUGAGUGAAGAAGGCCUUCGGGUUGUAAAGCUCUUUCAGUUGAGAAGAAAAGAUUGUGACUAAUAAUUGCAAUUCAUGACGGUAUCAACAGAAGAAGCACCGGCUAACUACGUGCCAGCAGCCGCGGUAAUACGUAGGGUGCGAGCGUUAAUCGGAAUUACUGGGCGUAAAGGGUGCGCAGGCGGUUCUGUAAGUCAGAUGUGAAAUCCCCGGGCUUAACCUGGGAACUGCGUUUGAAACUACAGAGCUAGAGUGUGGCAGAGGGGGGUGGAAUUCCAUGUGUAGCAGUGAAAUGCGUAGAGAUAUGGAAGAACAUCGAUGGCGAAGGCAGCCCCCUGGGUCAACACUGACGCUCAUGCACGAAAGCGUGGGGAGCAAACNGGAUUAGAUACCCAGUAGUCCCUGAGCGGGCUGGCAAGGCGCAU